CGUGUAGGCGGUCGGUUAAGUCUGAUGUGAAAGCCCGAGGCUCAGCUUCGGAAGUGCAUCGGAAACUAGCCGGCUGGAGCGCGAUAGAGGAGGGUGGAAUUCCUGGUGUAGCGGUGAAAUGCGUAGAUAUCAGGAGGAACACCGGCGGCGAAGGCGGCCCUCUGGAUUGUUGCUGACGCUGAGACGCGAAAGCGUGGGGAGCAAACAGGAUUAGAUACCCUGGUAGUCCACGCUGUAAACUAUGGGUACUAGGUGUUCGGGGUAUUGACCCCCUGAGUGCCGCAGUUAACGCAUUAAGUACCCCGCCUGGGGACUGCGGCCGCAAGGUUAA
Molecule: ribosomal RNA, 331 nt
Filed under: uncultured bacterium
Lineage: Bacteria
Description: bacterial SSU rRNA
Rfam family: Bacterial small subunit ribosomal RNA
Source: RNAcentral